AAUAUUGGACAAUGGGCGAAAGCUUGAUCCAUCCAUGCCGCGUGUGUGUAGAAGGUCUUCGGAUUGUAAAGCACUAUAAGUUGGGUGGAAGCGCAGUAAGUUAACACCUUGCUGUAUUGACGUUACAGUCAGAAUAAGCACCAGUUACUUUCGUGUCAGCCGCCGCGGUAAUACGACCGGUGCAAUCUUUAACCGGGAUUAAUUGGAGUAAAACGCGCGUAGGUGGUUUGUUAAAUUGAAAGUGAAAGCCCCGGGCUCAACCUGGGAACUGCUUUCAAAACUGGCAAGCUAGAGUAUGGCAGAGGGUGGUAGAAUUUCCUGUGUAGCGGUGAAAUGCGUAGAUAUAGGAAGGAACCCCAGUGGCGAAGGCGACCACCUGGGCUAAUACUGACACUGAGGUGCGAAAGCGUGGGGAGCAAAC
RNAcentral lists this ribosomal RNA (421 nucleotides) under uncultured bacterium. RNAcentral describes it as "partial 16S ribosomal RNA". It matches the Rfam family "Bacterial small subunit ribosomal RNA", at positions 360 to 773 of the family's 1533-position model. The record is from RNAcentral.